RNAcentral lists this ribosomal RNA (604 nucleotides) under uncultured bacterium. RNAcentral describes it as "bacterial SSU rRNA". The stretch from base 1 to 531 matches the Rfam family "Bacterial small subunit ribosomal RNA", at positions 338 to 873 of the family's 1533-position model. The record is from RNAcentral.
CCUACGGGAGGCAGCAGUAAGGAAUAUUGGUCAAUGGACGAAAGUCUGAACCAGCCAUGCCGCGUGAAGGAUUAAGGCCCUCUGGGUUGUAAACUUCUUUUAUCUGGGACGAAAAAAGGGUAUUCUUACUCACUUGACGGUACCAGAGGAAUAAGCACCGGCUAACUCCGUGCCAGCAGCCGCGGUAAUACGGAGGGUGCAAGCGUUAUCCGGAUUUACUGGGUUUAAAGGGUGCGUAGGUGGGCUUGUAAGUCAGUGGUGAAAUCUCCGGGCUUAACCCGGAAACUGCCAUUGAUACUAUAGGUCUUGAAUUAUCUGGAGGUAAGCGGAAUAUGUCAUGUAGCGGUGAAAUGCUUAGAUAUGACAUAGAACACCAAUUGCGAAGGCAGCUUACUACGGAUAUAUUGACACUGAGGCACGAAAGCGUGGGGAUCAAACAGGAUUAGAUACCCUGGUAGUCCACGCCCUAAACGAUGGAUACUCGACAUCAGCGAUACACUGUUGGUGUNUGAGCGAAGANAUAUAUCCNCCNGAGUAGANCGCAGAUAGAACGUACAAUAGAGUAGACGCGUGAGAGUAGCGACGACGACGACGAGGGAGGAGG